CAGCACUUUGCAGGUAUUAUUCCAUUGUAUUCUGACCUGUAUUGCUGCUAUGGAGUAGCCAGCUAUCAAUUUAACUGGCAGCCUUGCAUAGGUGCAAGAAUAAGAAGGUAAUAGACUGAGAUAAGAAAUUAAAUGAAGAAAUACAAUAAAAUAAAAUUUGACACAAUGGUCAAAAUAUAACCUAAACUGGAGAGAAUAAACAGAAAAAUGGACCUUGCAUAAACAUUAAAAUCUUCUCAGAAUGCAAGAGAAAAGAAGGAAAAUUCUGAUAAUUACAGAAUGGAGGAUGAGUUACAUAGAUCCAACCUGUUAUCCAAGCCCAGAAGUGUUACCAGAAAGGGGACCGGAUCCAGACCCCAAGAGAGGGUUCUUGGAUCUCAUGCAAAAAAAGAAUUCAGGGAUUGGCUGUCAACAUUUAAAUAUCAAGAUUUCGGAGCGGGGCGCGAUGGCUCACGCCUGUGAUCCCAGCACUUUGGCAGGCCGAGGUGGGCAGAUCACGAGGUCAGGAGAUCGAAACACAGUGAAACCCCGUCUCUACUAAACAUACAAAAAAAAAAAUUAAAUUAAAUAUCAAGAUUUCUGGCUUCUCUUGAAGAAUUAGGUGAUGGGCCCACAUUUCCACACUAAAACAACUGUCCAGAACUGCGUAGGAGGCCGUGUCUAUUAGGCUGGAUCAGAAAUCUUGCUCAAGCAACACCCCUGCUGCCUCCCUCAGCAUGAACCUCGGUAUGAAGACAGAGACAAUGUUAUGUGUUCAUCCCAUAGGUUCUUCCCAGGCAUUUCCCGGCCCCGUAGGGUUAGCAUUGGUUGGCAAAAACCAUGUGACAGAGAUUUGCUGAUGGCAAUGUGAUGCAGUAAAGAGAUGGUGUAAAUUCUCCAUGUAUUCUUACAUUGUGUGGUUGGAAGCUAGAAACCUCUGAGAGGACAGACUGGCAAGAAAGAACCAGCUGACAUCCCCAAGUGAUCACUAUAGGACAGCUGCCAAGAAAAGCUCGCUGACUCCUCUGAGCCCCAAAUAGAAGCAAAAAACAAAGCUUGGUUGUGUUAAGCCACUGAUAUGCAGGGGUUAUCUGCUACCAUGGUAGAGCUUGUCCUCUGCUGACUGAUGAAAUGGAUCAUAAGAAUAGUAGCAAAUAUUCAUUGAGUGCUUCCUGAUUUGAAUGCCUAGUCAUUGGGCUAAAUACUUUACAUAUAAUACCUUAGUUAGUCUUAAUAAUUAUUCUGUCUGAUAGGUACUAUUAUUUUACCCUUUUUAGAUAAGAGGUUUAGAGAUGUUAAGUCAUAUACUUGAGUUCAUAGUAAGUGAGAGAGUUAGGCAGUCUGAUGCCAAAACUUUCGCUACGCUCCUCUCUUUUUUCUAUUCUAUAUUGUCUCGCUGAGUCUGUCUUUCUCUGUAAAAAAGGCAAUGAUAACCUCAACUUUAACAGUCAGAUAUUAGUUGUGCUAAGAGAUAGUCUGGGUUAAUUUUAAAUUAUUUGGAUCAGUUUGAAGUUACGUGGAGAAAUUGGCAAUGGUUUAAUCUACUUGAACCAGUCUAUACCAGAUAAGUACAGUUAGAAUUAAUUUGAGCUGGAUUCUGCUAGUAUAGACAUUCUGGAACACCCUUGGAUUUUUGCUAAUCCUUUAACAGAGAUAUUAUUGGCAGUUAGAUAGUAAUUAUUAUGUUAAGAAAAUGUAAUUAUAUUCUUAGGUUACUGAAGAGUUUAAUCAGAAAUAAUUAAAUGUUUCAAAAAUCAUGUGGGCAUCUCUAACACUGCUAGUGUAGCAAAACCUCCUGUCCAAAACCUCCUUCCAGUCACUACCUCCUCCAUCUUUUCCAAAGAAAAGCCUUACCCUGACUUAACAUGCCAUAGUGUGGGCGAAGGAUUACCCAGGUGCUGAGGCAAGAGACUGAAGGCACAAACUGUUGCAGUAUAAUAAGGAAAAUAGUUAGAAUAAGAAUAGUUAUAAUACAAAUUAGAUAUAGAGAUAACCAUAGACAUUAUCAAUCAUUAGUAUAAAUAUUAUUACUCAUUAGCUUUUAAUAUUACUCUUUGUUGUAUUACUAAUAUAACCAAGGAAUAACCAGCGGGUAUAGGGUCAGGUGCCAACGGGACAUUGUGAGAAGUGACCUAGAAAGCAAGAGGUGAGCCCUCUGUCACACCUGCAUAAGGGCCACUUGAGGGUUCCUUGGUCAAGCAGUAAUGCCAGUGCCUGGGAAGGCACCCGUUACUUAGCAGACCGUGAAAGGGAGUCUCCCUUUCCUUGGAGGAGUCAGGGAACACUCUGCUCCACCACCUUCUUGUGGGAGGCUGGAUAUUAUCCAGGCCUGCCCGCAGUCAUCCGGAGGCCUAAACCCCUGCCUGUGGUGCUGUGCUUCAGUAGUCAUGCUCCUUGUCCACUUUCAUGUUCCUCCCGCACUCCUGGUUCCUCUUUGAAGUUCUUAGUAGAUAGUGGUAGAAGAAAUAGUGAAAGUCUUAAAAUCUUUGAUCUUUCUUAUAAAUGCAUAGAAGAAAAUGCUGACAUAUACUGCCUUCCCUCUCUGCUUCGGCUACCUAAGAGCAAAGGGCCCCCUGUCCCAUGAUCACGUGACUUGCUUGACCUUAUCAAUCACCUGGACGACUCACCUGCCUUACCCUGCCUCCUUGUCUUGUAUGCAAUAAAUAUCAGCACACCCAGCUAUUUGGGGCCACUACCGGUCUCCACGUCUUGGUGGUAGUGGUCCCCCGGGCCCAGCUGUUUUCUCUUUAUCUCUUUGUCUUGUGUCUUUAUUUCUUACAAUCUCUCGUCUCCGCACACGGGGAGAACACCCUCAAAGCCCCGUAGGGCUGGACCCUACACCAUAGAUUAGUUUUGCUUAGCUUUAAACGCUUUAUAAAUGGAAUUACACAGGAUGCAUUAUUGUGCCUGCAUUCAUUCAACACUAUGUAUGCCAGAUUUACCCAUAUUAUUGUAUGUAGCUGUAUUGUUCAUACAUUUGUAUUGCUGUAUAAUAUUCCAGUGUAUGAAUAUGCCAUAAUUUAUUUAUCCAUUACACUGUCAUUGAAUAUUGGGUUGUUUCCAGUUUGGGUUUAUUACAAAUAAUGCUGCCAUGAACCUCUUUCAUAUCUUUAAUUAUACUUGUGUAACCAUUUAUUUAAUACAUAUAGAUAGGCAGGAAGUUACUGGAUUAUACAAUACAUGCAUACUCUUCUUUAGUACAUAAUGUCAAACAUUUUCCAAAGUGGUUCUACCAAUCUACAUACCCAGCAUCAGGGUAUAAGAGCUCCAGUUGCUCCAUAAUCUUGCCAGUAUUUGGUAUAGACCAUCUUUUUAAUUUUAGCCAUUCUGAUGGGUCUGUAGUAUUAACUCAUUGUGGUUUUAAUGUGUAUUUUCCUGAACAUCUAUGAGGUUGAGCACCUUUUUAUAUAUGAUUGGUCAUUUUGCUCUCCUCUUUCAUGAAGUACCU
This 3427-nucleotide long non-coding RNA is filed under the name Homo sapiens (human). RNAcentral's name for it is "HSALNT0291807". The record is from RNAcentral. Lineage: Eukaryota; Metazoa; Chordata; Mammalia; Primates; Hominidae.